Molecule: long non-coding RNA, 1273 nt
Organism: Peromyscus eremicus (cactus mouse)
Lineage: Eukaryota; Metazoa; Chordata; Mammalia; Rodentia; Cricetidae
Exons: 5
Source: RefSeq, a predicted model, not a curated record
CAGACCAACAUUAGAUCCAUCUCUGUCAAUUUUAAUCAUGGCAUUUGGGGAUAGAGGCUCAAUGUUUCUAAAUCUGUUACUAACUUCCUUAGCAGCCCUGACUCCCUAGGGCGUGUGACUGAUUCAGAACCAGACGGGGUGGGUGGGGGGUGGCUCAGUUGUUGGUAGAGUGCUGCCUGGCUUGCACAAAGUCCCAGGUUUUAGCCCCAGGGACGCAUAAUAAAACUGGCCAUGGUGAUCCCAGUACUCAGAAGUGCAGGCAGGAAGAUUAGGAACCCAAGGCCAACCUCAGCUACACACUUGUUGCCCAGAGAACACCCUGCAUCCAGCAAGGUCAACAGAAGUCUCAGCUUCCAAAUCUCCAUGGCAACCUUCCCCGUUGUCCUCACCACAGGGGGACUCCACUGCCCUGAACCAAAGGGUCUAAUUCAUGACCAGCUUCUCAUCAAGUUCAGAUUAUCCAUGUAUCUACAAAACCUAUUGUCUGACCCACUUCGAGGACUCUAUCCCAAAAGACCACAUCUUCAGGGCUAGGAGGCUGGUUCAGUGGUGAUGCUUGUCACGCAAGUGGGUUUGGAUCCCCAGAGCCUGUGGGAACACCGGACACAGCGGCCUGCAUCUACAAUCCCGCUGUCUUAGGUCGAUGGAGGCAGAGCCAGGAGACUGAAUCCAGAGAAGCUGGCAUGUGAUUAUUGGUCUAACACAACACAAUCCAAAGGUGAACUCAGCUGUCGAAAGCCUUGCUUCUGCAGAGUCACUCACCAGGACCUGGGACUUGCCAAUUAGACUAGACUGGAUGCCCAUCCAGCCUCUGGGAUCUUCCUGUCUCCAGGAAUUACAAGUCCCAGGAAUUGAACUCAGGUCUCCAGGCUUGGCAGCAAGCACCUUUCACACAGCCAUCUCAUGGGCCCUGGUUUUAUUGGUUUUCACGUGGGUUCUAGGGAUCCAGCUCUGUCCCGUGCUCUCAGGGCAGACACUUUGCCAGCUUGCCCAUCUUCCUGCCAGCGUAGACCAAAUGCUGCCGAGACCCCGAGCAGCACAGGCGUGACCGAGUCUGUGGGAUCUGUGGGUGGAAGCAGCAGGUGCAACCACAGCGAACUGGCUGCGGAAGCUUCACGUUUCGGCACUGAGGCCUGUUCAAUUAUUGAUAAGCAUCGUGUGGGCUCCUGCUUGCAAAGAACUCUUUCCUCCCAGGAAAAUUAAAUUUGUUGGACAGCAAUAGCUUCCUUUUCCCUGUGUCUUAUUAAACAAGGAUGAUGCAACUACCAAGCAA